This is a long non-coding RNA of Scophthalmus maximus (turbot), 1575 nucleotides long. The record is from Ensembl. Lineage: Eukaryota; Metazoa; Chordata; Actinopteri; Pleuronectiformes; Scophthalmidae.
ACAGAGAAACAACUACAACUCCCAUCAUCCCUCACUGCUUCACCACCUCAACUAUCUGACUCGCCCCCUAGUGGUGGGAAACUGUUUCCUUCUAUCACUCCUCCAUCCCUCUAUCACUCCUCUAUCCCUCUAUCACUCCUCUAUCCCUCUAUCACUCCUCCAUCCCUCUAUCACUCCUCUAUCCCUCUAUCACUCCUCCAUCCCUCUAUCACUCCUCUAUCCCUCUAUCACUCCUCUAUCCCUCUAUCACUCCUCCAUCCCUCUAUCACUCCUCUAUCCCUCUAUCACUCCUCCAUCCCUCUAUCACUCCUCUAUCCCUCUAUCACUCCUCCAUCCCUCUAUCACUCCUCUAUCCCUCUAUCACUCCUCUAUCCCUCUAUCACUCCUCCAUCCCUCUAUCACUCCUAUCCCUCUAUACUCCUCUAUCCCUCUAUCACUCCUCCAUCCCUCUAUCACUCCUCCAUCCCUCUAUCACUCCUCCAUCCCUCUAUCACUCCUCCAUCCCUCUAUCACUCCUCUAUCCCUCUAUCACUCCUCCAUCCCUCUAUCACUCCUCUAUCCCUCUAUCACUCCUCCAUCCCUCUAUCACUCCUCCAUCCCUCUAUCACUCCUCCAUCCCUCUAUCACUCCUCUAUCCCUCUAUCACUCCUCUAUCCCUCUAUCACUCCUCUAUCCCUCUAUCACUCCUCCAUCCCUCUAUCACUCCUCCAUCCCUCUAUCACUCCUCUAUCCCUCUAUCACUCCUCUAUCCCUCUAUCACUCCUCCAUCCCUCUAUCACUCCUCCAUCCCUCUAUCACUCCUCCAUCCCUCUAUCACUCCUCCAUCCCUCUAUCACUCCUCUAUCCCUCUAUCACUCCUCCAUCCCUCUAUCACUCCUCCAUCCCUCUAUCACUCCUCCAUCCCUCUCACUCCUCCAUCCCUCUAUCACUCCUCUAUCCCUCUAUCACUCCUCCAUCCCUCUAUCACCUCCUAUCCCUCUAUCACUCCUCUAUCCCUCUAUCACUCCUCCAUCCCUCUUUCACUCCUCUAUCCCUCUAUCACUCCUCCAUCCCUCUAUCACUCCUCUAUCCCUCUAUCACUCCUCCAUCCCUCUAUCACUCCUCCAUCCCUCUAUCACUCCUCUAUCCCUCUAUCACUCCUCCAUCCCUCUAUCACUCCUCCAUCCCUCUAUCACUCCUCUAUCCCUCUAUCACUCCUCUAUCCCUCUAUCACUCCUCCAUCCCUCUAUCACUCCUCUAUCCCUCUAUCACUCCUCCAUCCCUCUAUCACUCCUCUAUCCCUCUAUCACUCCUCUAUCCUUCCAUCCUCUGUAUUUACCUCUUCUUUAUUUCACCUUCCCUCCUUCCAUGAACUCAUUUCCCUUCUUCUCUUCCUUUAAUCCAUCCUUCUGUGAUUAUCUCAUCCUCUCUUCAUUCACUCCUCCGUCUUUACUCCUUCCUGGUCUAAUCCCUCCAUGUCUCCUUUUCUUCUCACCACCUCCUCUCCCUCCCUCCAUCCGACGACGGAGGAGGAGUGAAGUCUUUUUUUCUUUUGGCUCGAGCGACCCUCCUCCUCCCUUCGGCCAUGUUGGAUGA